Molecule: ribosomal RNA, 801 nt
Filed under: uncultured Rubrobacter sp.
Lineage: Bacteria; Bacillati; Actinomycetota; Rubrobacteria; Rubrobacterales; Rubrobacteraceae
Description: bacterial SSU rRNA
Rfam family: Bacterial small subunit ribosomal RNA
Source: RNAcentral
AGAGUUUGAUCCUGGCUCAGGACGAACGCUGACGGUGUGCUUUAGACAUGCAAGUCGAACGAGAAAGCCCUUCGGGGUGAGUACAGUGGCGAACGGGUGAGUAACACGUGGGUAACCUGCCCCUCGCAGGGGGACAACCGGGGGAAACCCCGGCUAAUACCCCGUACGCUUGCCGGGUCGCAUGGCCCGGCAAGGAAAGGUAGCUUCGGCCAUCCGGCGAGGGAUGGGCCCGCGGUCCAUUAGCUAGUUGGUGGGGUAACGGCUCACCAAGGCGACGAUGGAUAGCUGGUCUGAGAGGAUGAUCAGCCACACUGGGACUGAGACACGGCCCAGACUCCUACGGGAGGCAGCAGUCGGGAAUCUUGCGCAAUGGGCGAAAGCCUGACGCAGCAACACCGUGUGGGCGACGAAGGCCUUCGGGUCGUAAAGCCCUGUUGUUGGGGACGAAGGGCGAAGGGUUAAUAGCCCCUAGCUUGACGGUACCCUUCGAGGAAGCCCCGGCUAACUACGUGCCAGCAGCCGCGGUAAUACGUAGGGGGCGAGCGUUGUCCGGAAUUAUUGGGCGUAAAGAGCGUGUAGGCGGCUUGGUAAGUCUGCCGUGAAAACCUGAGGCUCAACCCCGGGCGUGCGGUGGAUACUGCCAGGCUAGAGGAUGGUAGAGGCGAGUGGAAUUCCCGGUGUAGCGGUGAAAUGCGCAGAUAUCGGGAGGAACACCAGUAGCGAAGGCGGCUCGCUGGGCCAUUCCUGACGCUGAGACGCGAAAGCUAGGGGAGCGAACAGGAUUAGAUACCCUGGUAGUCC